GGCAGGUUUGAGAAGCAGGCAUGAAGACCUGGAGGGCGGUAUGAGAAAGAAAGGGACACUCUUUUAACAGGGUCUGCUGUGCUAGGACGAGGGGAAGCGGUUUCGAACUGAAAGAGGAGAGAUGUAGACUGGAUACAAAGAUACAGAUACAAAGAAGUCCUUUGCAAGAAGGGCGGGAGGCCCCUGGCACAGGCUGCACGGAGAGGUGGUGGUGCCCCAUCCCUGCAGACAGCCCAGGUCAGGCUGGAUGGGCUCUGAGCACUGCUGGAGCUGUGGGUGUCCCUGUGCACUGCAGGGAGUGGGACCUGAUGGCCUUUAAGGGUCCCUCCCCGCUCAAGCCGUUCUGUGGUUCUAUGAAGAAGCGACUGGGGAGAAGCUGGAGGAGGAGAAGGAACAUCCCUCUGAAGGAAAAGAUGUGGCUGCUGUGCUGGGUGCCGUGUGCCAGGAGAUGGCAACUGGGAUUGAUAAGAAAUGGCCAAAAAGUGCUGAGGUUCAUGGCAGGACACGGAAGAUGGACUUCACUACAUUCAGUAGCAAAGAUUUAACAACAAAGUUAAUUAUUUUAUACAAAACAGAGAAAGAAGCUGAACGAGCCCCGCUACAGAAGAACUUGCCCAGUGGCUAGUCUCCUCCAAGCUGGGAAGUGGUCUGCAAAGUCUCCUCCAGCACUUUCAGAUGAGUAACCUGACCCAUGGGCACACUAUAUAAUGAGAAAAGGAUUAACUAUAUAUAUUAAUUAUCAGGAGACUGUCCAGCCUCGUACCGCAGAAGGAAGACUCAGUCACUCAACCCUGUGUGCUCAGCUGAGCACAAUCCAGACUUGCUCUCAGGAUGAACUUUGUUCACCAUCUUUGCUGCAAAUGCUGAAACUCAGACUGAGUGGCAUCAGGCUGAUCCCUGAUACUCUUCCUGUGUACCUUGCUCAAAACUAAGGGUCACCUACAAAUGUGGAGCAGCAAUGCCAAGCUCUACUCAUAACACAUCUUCACGUAUACAGAUGAGGCUCUGCUGUCAUACCUUGAGACAGGCUGAAAUCAUCAAGAAAUGAGGAUUUCUUCCAGCCUGCUACCAGGC
This 1074-nucleotide long non-coding RNA is filed under the name Chrysolophus pictus (golden pheasant). Its description in RNAcentral is "lncRNA (ENSCPIG00010008791.1)". The record is from RNAcentral. Lineage: Eukaryota; Metazoa; Chordata; Aves; Galliformes; Phasianidae.